Molecule: small nuclear RNA, 83 nt
Organism: Trichinella papuae
Lineage: Eukaryota; Metazoa; Nematoda; Enoplea; Trichinellida; Trichinellidae
Rfam family: U2 spliceosomal RNA
About the family: U2 is a small nuclear RNA (snRNA) component of the spliceosome (involved in pre-mRNA splicing).
Source: Rfam
AUCGCUUCAAGGCUUUUAUAAAAAGCUAAGAUCAAAGUGUAGUAUCUGUUCUUAUCAGCUUAAUUUCUGGUAUGAAUCCCAAG